UCCUGAUUUGGCCCCUAGACUGCUCAUCACAUUUUCCUAGAUACCAGGAUACGUAGUCUGGGUCACUGCAUUAAUGUCGAAUGAUCUUUGGGCAGGGGUGACUCAUGACUAUAUCUCAGCAAGGAAACACAUCCUUAUCUCAACAGUAUUUCUGUUAUACGCAAAAGCUAUAGAGCUGUAUGCAUUGUAUCUUCCUAGUACACACACUAGACACAUUUAAUCUAGAUACUGGAGGGAGUUUUUCCAUCUCUGCAGUCACCAGGAGCACUGCCCUCAGUGGGUCGGGCAGCAACAGGACCCCAGGCCAGGUGAACACAGGUGAAGAUUGCUCAUGGGCAGCACACCUGAGGGCUGGAUUAUGGAAAGCUAACUAAGCUGGAGCUGAAGUUGCAACUACAAUGACAGUGAUGGACAUUCAUGAUUCAACUGGCAAGAAAUUCCAGUUGUAGUUUUAAUAGUGUUUGAACGAGUGCUCUUUUUUUCUUGAAGAAAAACUUAUAUCUACCAGCCUCCUGUUUCUCCACUGAUCUUCGACAGCAUAAAAACAUUGCCCUGCCAAGUCACUUCCCUGGAAAUUAGAUCUUUUAUGUAACUAGGGUGACACUGUUGUGAAGUUAAAGAACAAAUGUAAAUAUAAAAAUCAUUAAGUGACCUGAAUUUUUAAUGAGCAUUAAUAUUGUAAAAAUACUAGUGACAAACUGCUAACACAUCUGCAGACAAUGUCUUCCUCUGAAGUCAGUGAGAGUUUUGCAUGCCUUGGCUUCUUCCUGAGGUGCUAUGAUUUCUUUACAUUUAAAAGAAAUUUCAUAUUCAUAUAAUUUUAAUAAAAAAAGUUUUACUCCAAAAGCAAUUUUAGUUGCUACCAUAUUGACCUGUAAUUAAAGAUUUAUGAUCC
Oxyura jamaicensis (ruddy duck) is the source of this 895-nucleotide long non-coding RNA. RefSeq lists it as uncharacterized. The transcript has 2 exons. NCBI's taxonomy places the organism in Eukaryota, Metazoa, Chordata, Aves, Anseriformes, Anatidae. The record is from RefSeq and is a predicted model, not a curated record.